This 2927-nucleotide long non-coding RNA is filed under the name Gossypium barbadense (sea-island cotton). RNAcentral describes it as "long non-coding RNA (GBAR_LNC018346)". Lineage: Eukaryota; Viridiplantae; Streptophyta; Magnoliopsida; Malvales; Malvaceae. The record is from RNAcentral.
UCGAAAAUGGUGAUUUUGGGACCACGAAUUCGACAAGUGAGCUUGUAAAUAUUAUUAAUUUAAUGUUUAUGAGUCAAUUAUAAUAUUAUUGAAAUUUUGAUUUAAUAAAUUUCGUUAAUUGAUCGUAUAGUUAAGUUAAGUGGUUCAUUCCUUAAUUCAAGUGGUUUUGGAAAAUGAAGUAUUGAAACCUCCUUUCUAUAAACCGAACCCGUAAAUAUUUUUAUUAAAUAUUUACAGAGUUAUUAUAUAGGCAUGUGAAUAUUCAGUUAGGAAAUUUAAUUUUUAAUUAGUUAAUUAAUUAAAAAGGACUAAAUCGUAAAAGUCAAAAAAUCUAAUCACUAUUGAAUUUUAAUGGUUAAAUAGCUUAACUAGUGGAUUUGUGAGGACUUAUGAAAUAAUUAUACUAUGUUUUGAUAUUAGUGGACGGUUAAGACAUUUAUUUAUGCAUUAUAUAUGUUAUAUUAUAAGUUAAAUAAUAAUAAAGUAAAUAAAAUAAGUAAAGUUUAAAAAAAAAGAAAAAGAAAACAUAAAAAAUUAGUGUCAUAUUCUUCUUCUUUUAAUUUGAACAUCGAACCAUCAUGGGAGAACUUGGGAAGCUUCGGCUUUGAUAUUUCCAUUGCAUGAAAGUGAGUUUUUCACUCGUUUUUCGUAAAUUUUAUAUUUUUGAGACCGUUGCAGCUAGGUACAGCUAACAUGUAUCUCUGUUUUUAAAACUGUUAAAGAUUUUGGAUUUUUCCAUUAAUUAAUUUUAGUUGUGUUGAGAAUUUAAUUGAUGUGUUCUUGAGUUUUACAGCUAGAUAUAAGUAUUUUGUUAAGUGAUUUUUAGUAAUUUCAAUGUUUAGGGAUUAAAUUGUUUAAAUAGUAAAAUUCAAUGAAAAUGGUGUGAAAUGAUAAGAAAUAUGGGCUGUAAUGGACCCCUAGGAAAAUUGGCUAGCAUAGUUUUUCAUUAAGUGUGGUUAAUUUGUGAUUUAUGAAUUUGAGUAUUUUAUGAUAUUUGAAUUGGUUAAUUGAAUAAAUUUAUUAUAUUUAGAUCAAGAAACGAGCUAACCUGGCAUUAAUUGUGGGAAAGGAAAGUUAAAGGAGAAAUCGUCGGUGUUGUGUUUGUAACUAUUUUCAAUUAGGUAAGUUUGUAAAUUGAUUAAAUUAAUUAUUUGUUAUUUUUGUGACUUAAUAUAUAUAUUUAUGUUGUUAUUCAAUUUAACUACUUGAGAUUGAUAUGUGAUGAGUUGGACUAAGUUAUGAUGAUAUUUAAGUUGAGUACUGUGUUUGGAAAAUGUCAAAUACACGGAUGUGAGUUUGAAAUGGUAUAAUGGAAACGAAGUUAAAUGACUAGGAUAUAAAAUGUGUCACAUUUGAACCUUGUGAGUACUUAUGAUACAAAUGACAUGUCAUUAGGAGGUUAUUUCCAGUUUCGGGUGCUGGUCUUGGAUGUCCUACCGAUGGCUGAGGUAUUGCACUUGUUAUGGAUUCUCCACAAUUCGUGUGAGCAGCACCGUGUAGCUUAAUAUCCUGACCCAUAGCUUGUGUGAGCAGACCCAUUUCACAGCUCAUGUGAGCAUACAGUAUUACAUGUUACAGUCACAGCUUGCGUGAGCAGUUCCCGAGUAUCCGAUGUUAUUUCAUUUGGUUCAACAGGUAGUAAAAUUUUAAACUAAUAUGUACAUAUAUAAAAAUGUUAUAUGGUCAAGACAUGUGAAUGGAAGAUGCUGAUAUAAAUACUUGGAAUGGGAAGCUAUGUUUAUCGAACACAUGAUAGAUGUAAUAUGUACUGGUUAUGUUAUUAUUACAUGUUCCAUUAUUGUUGGAAUUAUAUGUUUCUUUGUGAUACCUAUUAACCUUGUAAGGUUGUGUUGUAUAGAAAAGAAAUGUAAGUAUAAGAUUUAAUGAAUGAAUAUGUGUUAUAUGCUAAAUAAAUAUGUGAUGGUUGGCUAUGUACUAAAUAAGUUUUUUGGUAUAUGUUUGAUGGCAUGAUAAAGUUACAUGUUUUAUAUAUGAACUCACUAAUCUUGUGAGACUUGUGAUGUGUCUAGGAAAUUAACAAACUCAUGACCAGGACAUAGAGUUAUCUUGUAAAAUGUUUUAUUACAUCGUUUUUGGUAAGUCAAAGUUUAAGUUUAUUACGAACUUACAAAGCUUUACGUAAGCUUACCUCGUUUUGGUUUUUCUUCUUUGUAGAUUGUUGGAGUUGAGCUGUCAAUUGGAUUACUUUUGGAGAUCAUGCUAUUUGUUCAAUGAUUCAGUAUAAGAUGUGAUUAUUUUUUAUUUAGUUUAUAAGUGGCAUGUUCUAGGAGUAUAUAAGUUUUUUUGCUAUAAUGAUGUAACCUUAGUUUAAGCAUAUAUGUAUAUAUAUAUUUGAUUUAGCUUGUAUAUGUCCAUAUUUGUAUAUCUUUAGUUGUUGUGUAUAUCCUUCUUGGAUGUGUUUGAAAUAUGGUAAGAUUGAAUAUGAAUGGAAUGGUUGAAUUGGUACAAAUGUUUAGGUAACUUAAUAAAUCUUGGUUGAUAAUUUUGGUCAUAAUAAAUGAGGCAAAUUUGAUAGUUGAAGAAGUAUGAAAUGCUAAGUAGUUGUACUUGAAUGGAUUAUGUUUCAAUGUUUGAAUUGUGGUGCCAAGUGAUGGCAUAUUGCUUAGGCAUUUAAGAUGAAUGAUUUUGGCAUGUUUUAGGUAUGUUUGAAUGUGUUUUAACCAUGUGAAAGUGAUUGAAAAGGGUUUGGUUUGGUGACCAAGAAAUGGAUAUUGAAUUGCUUAUAUUAGAGGUCAUUUUGGGUGCACAUGACCUUGGACACAGGCUGCCACACGGCUGUGUGCCACACAUGACCACCUUAUAUGGCCAUGUGUCUUAUUAAUUUUAGGUGCAGGAUUUUUCACACGGUUACAGUCAAUUACACGAUCUGAGCACACGGGCGUGUGGAGUAGCCACACGGGUUGGCC